GCCCCGUAAUCGGAAUGAGUACACUUUAAAUCCUUUAACAAGGAUCCAUUGGAGGGCAAGUCUGGUGCCAGCAGCCGCGGUAAUUCCAGCUCCAAUAGCGUAUAUUAAAGUUGUUGCGGUUAAAAAGCUCGUAGUUGGUUCUGCGUGCCGCGCUGUCGGUUCGCCGCCUGUCGGUGUAACUGGCAUGUCGCGGCAUGUCCUGUCGGUGGUGAACGGAGUCCACAAUGCUACAUAGGCUUUAUAGCCGAUGUUAGCGUCGUGUGUACUUCCGUUGGCCGAUCUCUCCUACUUCGGUGCUCUUAAACGAGUGUCGAGGUAGGCCGACACGUUCACUUUGAACAAAUUAGAGUGCUUAAAGCAGGCUGAAAUAUAUGCCUGAAUAGUGGUGCAUGGAAUGAUAAAACAGGACCUCGGUUCUAUUUUGUUGGUUUUAGGAAUAUGAGGUAAUGAUCAAUGUGGACUGGCGGGGGCAUUCGUAUUGCGACGUUAGAGGUGAAAUUCUUGGAUCGUCGCAAGACGCACUAGAGCGAAAGCAUUUGCCAAGUAUGUCUUAAUUGAUCAAGAACGAAAGUUAGAGGUUCGAAGGCGAUCAGAUACCGCCCUAGUUCUAACCAUAAACGAUGCCAGCCAGCGAUCCGCCGAUGUUCCUUUAAUGACUCGGCGGGGAGCUUCCACCCGGGAAACCAAAGCUUUUGGGUUCCGGGGGAAGUAUGGUUGCAAAGCUGAAACUUAAAGGA
This 737-nucleotide ribosomal RNA is filed under the name Triatoma flavida. RNAcentral's name for it is "SSU rRNA". It matches the Rfam family "Eukaryotic small subunit ribosomal RNA", at positions 500 to 1151 of the family's 1831-position model. Lineage: Eukaryota; Metazoa; Arthropoda; Insecta; Hemiptera; Reduviidae. The record is from RNAcentral.